RNAcentral lists this ribosomal RNA (397 nucleotides) under uncultured bacterium. RNAcentral describes it as "partial 16S ribosomal RNA". It matches the Rfam family "Bacterial small subunit ribosomal RNA", at positions 523 to 918 of the family's 1533-position model. The record is from RNAcentral.
AUACGUAGGUGGCAAGCGUUGUCCGGAAUUAUUGGGCGUAAAGCGCGCGCAGGUGGUUCCUUAAGUCUGAUGUGAAAGCCCCCGGCUCAACCGGGGAGGGUCAUUGGAAACUGGGGAACUUGAGUGCAGAAGAGGAUAGUGGAAUUCCAAGUGUAGCGGUGAAAUGCGUAGAGAUUUGGAGGAACACCAGUGGCGAAGGCGACUGUCGGGUCUGUAACUGACACUGAGGCGCGAAAGCGUGGGGAGCAAACAGGAUUAGAUACCCUGGUAGUCCACGCCGUAAACGAUGAGUGCUAAGUGUUGGGGGGUUUCCGCCUCUCAGUGCUGCAGCUAACGCAUUAAGCACUCCGCCUGGGGAGUACGGUCGCAAGACUGAAACUCAAAUGAAUUGACGGGG